UCCUACGGGAAGCAGCAGUAGGGAAUCUUCCACAAUGGACGAAAGUCUGAUGGAGCAAUACCAUGUGAACGAUGAAGGCCUUUUUGGUUGUAAAGUUCUUUUACGAGGGAUAAUUAUGAUAGUACUUCGUGAAUAAGUGACAGCAAACUAUGUGCCAGCAGCUGCGGUAAUACAUAGGUCGCGAGCAUUAUUCGGAUUUAUUGGGCGUAAAGCAAGCGCAGGCGGAUGUGUAAGUUCUGUGUUAAAUGCAGCUACUCAAUAGUUGUAUGCACCGAAUACUACAUGUCUAGAUUGUGGUAGGGAGUUUCGGAAUUAAGCAUGGAGCGGUGGAAUGUGUAGAUAUGCUUAAGAACACCAGAGGCGAAGGCGGAAACUUAGGCCAUAAAUGACGCUUAGGCUUGAAAGUGUGGGGAGCAAAUGGGAUUAGAUACCCCAGUAGUCCACACCGUAAACGAUGGGUAUUAGAUAUUAGGGCUUUAGCUUUAGUGUUGUAGCUUACGCGUGAAAUACACCGCCUGGGUAGUACAUACGCAAAUAUGAAACUCAAAGGAAUUGACGGGGACCUGAACAAUG
Molecule: ribosomal RNA, 573 nt
Filed under: Mycoplasma haemofelis
Lineage: Bacteria; Bacillati; Mycoplasmatota; Mollicutes; Mycoplasmatales; Mycoplasmataceae
Description: bacterial SSU rRNA
Rfam family: Bacterial small subunit ribosomal RNA
Source: RNAcentral